Molecule: ribosomal RNA, 448 nt
Filed under: Lancefieldella rimae
Lineage: Bacteria; Bacillati; Actinomycetota; Coriobacteriia; Coriobacteriales; Atopobiaceae
Description: bacterial SSU rRNA
Rfam family: Bacterial small subunit ribosomal RNA
Source: RNAcentral
GAUGAACGCUGGCGGCGCGCCUAACACAUGCAAGUCGAACGGUUAAAGCACCUUUAGGUGUGUAUAAAGUGGCGAACGGCUGAGUAACACGUGGGCAACCUGCCCUCCUCUUGGGGAUAGCCUCGGGAAACCGAGGAUAAUACCCGAUACUUCAAUGUGGCCGCAUGACGACAUUGAGAAAGCUUUUGCGGAGAAGGAUGGGCCCGCGGCCUGUUAGCUUGUUGGUGGGGUAGAGGCCUACCAAGGCAAUGAUGGGUAGCUGGGUUGAGAGACCGACCAGCCAGAUUGGGACUGAGACACGGCCCAGACUCCUACGGGAGGCAGCAGUGGGGAAUCUUGCACAAUGGGCGAAAGCCUGAUGCAGCGACGCCGCGUGCGGGACGAAGGCCUUCGGGUUGUAAACCGCUUUCAGCAGGGACGAGGCGUAAGUGACGGACCUGCAGAGAGC